AACGAACGCUGGCGGCAGGCCUAACACAUGCAAGUCGAGCGAGGACUUCGGUCCUAGCGGCGGACGGGUGAGUAACGCGUGGGAACGUGCCCCUUUCUACGGAAUAGCCCCGGGAAACCUGGGAGUAAUACCGUAUAAGCCCUACGGGGGAAAGGAUUUAUCGGGAAGGGAUCGGCCCGCGUUGGAUUAGGUAGUUGGUGGGGUAAUGGCCUACCAAGCCGACGAUCCAUAGCUGGUUUGAGAGGAUGAUCAGCCACACUGGGACUGAGACACGGCCCAGACUCCUACGGGAGGCAGCAGUGGGGAAGUCUUAGACAAUGGGCGCAAGCCUGAUCUAGCCAUGCCGCGUGAGCGAUGAAGGCCUUAGGGUUGUAAAGCUCUUUCAGGGGGGAAGGAUAAUGACUGUACCCCCAGAAGAAGCCCCGGCUAACUCCGUG
RNAcentral lists this ribosomal RNA (437 nucleotides) under uncultured bacterium. RNAcentral's name for it is "bacterial SSU rRNA". It matches the Rfam family "Bacterial small subunit ribosomal RNA", at positions 29 to 507 of the family's 1533-position model. The record is from RNAcentral.